RNAcentral lists this ribosomal RNA (227 nucleotides) under uncultured bacterium. RNAcentral's name for it is "partial 16S ribosomal RNA". It matches the Rfam family "Bacterial small subunit ribosomal RNA", at positions 15 to 237 of the family's 1533-position model. The record is from RNAcentral.
GAUCAUGGCUCAGGAUGAACGCUAGCGACAGGCUUAACACAUGCAAGUCGAGGGGCAGCGGGGUGUAGCAAUACACCGCCGGCGACCGGCGCACGGGUGAGUAACGCGUAUCCAACCUGCCGUCUACUCUUGGACAGCCUUCUGAAAGGAAGAUUAAUACAAGAUGGCAUCAUGAGUCCGCAUGUUCACAUGAUUAAAGGUAUUCCGGUAGACGAUGGGGAUGCGUU